RNAcentral lists this transfer RNA (85 nucleotides) under Phycisphaerales bacterium. Its description in RNAcentral is "tRNA-Leu". It matches the Rfam family "tRNA". From Rfam's summary of the family: Transfer RNA (tRNA) molecules are approximately 80 nucleotides in length. Their secondary structure includes four short double-helical elements and three loops (D, anti-codon, and T loops). Further hydrogen bonds mediate the characteristic L-shaped molecular structure. tRNAs have two regions of fundamental functional importance: the anti-codon, which is responsible for specific mRNA codon recognition, and the 3' end, to which the tRNAs corresponding amino acid is attached (by aminoacyl-tRNA synthetases). tRNAs cope with the degeneracy of the genetic code in two manners: having more than one tRNA (with a specific anti-codon) for a particular amino acid; and 'wobble' base-pairing, i.e. permitting non-standard base-pairing at the 3rd anti-codon position. The record is from RNAcentral. Lineage: Bacteria; Pseudomonadati; Planctomycetota; Phycisphaerae; Phycisphaerales.
GGCCUCGUGGCGAAACGGCAGACGCAGCGGACUUAAAAUCCGCAGUUCCGCAAGGGACGUGUGGGUUCAAGUCCCACCGGGGCCA